UGAUACUGCACGACAGCGCCCCCAGCAGCCAGUCUUUGGUAAGUUGGUGGAAGAGGACCAGCGGCAGGCAGAAGAAGAGGACGAUGAAGUCCCAGAGCGCCAGGUUGGCCAGCAGAGAGUUGGAGAUGCUCCUCAUGUAGAAGACGUCCAGCGUGUCCGUGGCAUCCUGCAGCUGCAGCUUCAUCACCAGCACAAACUGCAGCAACUGAACGCAGAGAGCUGAGGACGACAAAGGCAGCACGUGACUGAUAGUCCCCAGCGUCAGAGCCCAGGGUCCC
Long non-coding RNA from Thalassophryne amazonica, 278 nucleotides. RefSeq lists it as uncharacterized. NCBI's taxonomy places the organism in Eukaryota, Metazoa, Chordata, Actinopteri, Batrachoidiformes, Batrachoididae. The transcript is spliced from 2 exons. The record is from RefSeq and is a predicted model, not a curated record.